This 350-nucleotide long non-coding RNA is filed under the name Olea europaea subsp. europaea. Lineage: Eukaryota; Viridiplantae; Streptophyta; Magnoliopsida; Lamiales; Oleaceae. The record is from RNAcentral.
GAAAGGAAUCUAAAUUAUAUUCAAUUGACAAAGUAAUCCAACAUAUGUUUUUGAGACUUAGAAAUGUCGAGUGCGGUGAAAUUGAACUCCGGUUGCAGUGGAUAGAAAUCCCAGGCUCCAGGGGUUUGUUGUGUGACUUAUAGUUGUCAAGUUAUGUUGUACAGAACUAAUUGAUUUGUUUCUUAGUUAAAAUACUCGUAAAUCGAAGUCAGAUGCAGAAUCCAUUUUACGUUCCUCCUUGAAAAUUGUUAUCCAAGAAGAAGUUACAGUUGAUUUUACUUUCGUAAGGGUCUUGUGUAAGAAUGUAAAAUUGCCUUAUUGUCGAAUACUGUAAGUAUUGCAGAUUUCCA